UUUCAUGGUUGACGAAAUCCUACGUAGUUGUGUGUUGGUGUAAAUGUAUCACAUAAAAAGGAUUGUAAAUGAGGCCGUUAACUUUUGACAAUACCUCUUGAACAUUACUGAAAUAUUUCCUUGCAUAGUGCAGGUGUAGUUAUGCUGCAAUCAGCUAUAUUGGUGUUGCUUCCCUCAGGAUGUUGCUAUCUCUACAAUAGCCGGAGAAGACGAAACAAGUUUUGCAAUGCACACGGACUGGCUCAGUUGUGAAUGUCACAAAUGCUCCCCUAACGAGGAUCAAAUCAUUGAAAGGAUGGCCUUGAUAAAUAAUAUUCAUGAGGCGAAGAGGAAGUACCCAUACAUGAUGAGCUUUGAGAGGUGACUUUGCAAGACUGACUAAGAUUGACCCAUCACCUUGUAUUGCAAAAGGGAUCAACAAAAUUGUGAAAAUGGCAGAAAUGAAACACAUCCCUUGCGAAGCAAGUGUAAUGGCAUCACUUCAAAAGGCUCGUGAGAUGUCACCGGAGAGGAUGCGAACACGACGACCCGAGCGUUCCUGCAACCUCUUGCAUCAUAUUUUCUGGAGAAGACGUUGAAGAGGCUGACCUCCACAUCAAGGUGGACCGCGAGAUGUUUGCAGUGAAAAAUGGGGAGGAGGGGCUGGCGGCUGUUUUAUCUGCUUACUGGCUCUUCAAUAUCCAGUACGACCGCAAGCUGUUCAACACU
This is a long non-coding RNA of Dermacentor silvarum, 708 nucleotides long. RefSeq lists it as uncharacterized. NCBI's taxonomy places the organism in Eukaryota, Metazoa, Arthropoda, Arachnida, Ixodida, Ixodidae. The record is from RefSeq and is a predicted model, not a curated record. The transcript is spliced from 3 exons.